Molecule: long non-coding RNA, 439 nt
Organism: Daktulosphaira vitifoliae (grape phylloxera)
Lineage: Eukaryota; Metazoa; Arthropoda; Insecta; Hemiptera; Phylloxeridae
Exons: 4
Source: RefSeq, a predicted model, not a curated record
GUCUUAACAGGAACUCGAAAAUGAAAUAGGAAAUUAGAAUACGCAUUUAUUCAUUGGAGGGUAUUAAAAAAUAAAUUAUCAGUGGACGAUCGUUCUAUACUACUCAGGUGGUGACGGGUAGUAUAAAGUACACCGUCACUACUUGUACAAUUAUUCUAUUAAUUCUAAUAUUUCUUCUACUAGUUUUUUCUUUAUGAUACUUAAUAACCGCGUUAAAAUUUUACUAGUGUGUGCAUUAUUAAUUGCCUGCUAGUUUUCAGCCAUUCACCGAUCCAUUCAAACUGAAUACUUUAAUAUAUUCAUAACAAGCCUUUGUAGAAUUCUUCACUAUAGUUAUUCAUCUUUCAACAAAUCAUAAUGAAAUUAUUUUCAUUAGUCUUCUUUUCAAUUAUCGUAUUUAUGGUUAUCAAUAAUGUUCAAAGCAAGCCAUUGUGUUGUA